CUUUCUUUGCUGGCGACCGGCGCACGGGUGAGUAACACGUAUCCAACCUGCCCUUUACUCGGGGAUAGCCUUUCGAAAGAAAGAUUAAUACCCGAUAGCAUAAUGAUUCCGCAUGGUUUCAUUAUUAAAGGAUUCCGGUAAAGGAUGGGGAUGCGUCCCAUUAGGUUGUUGGUGAGGUAACGGCCCACCAAGCCUUCGAUGGAUAGGGGUUCUGAGAGGAAGGUCCCCCACAUUGGAACUGAGACACGGUCCAA
This 254-nucleotide ribosomal RNA is filed under the name uncultured bacterium. Its description in RNAcentral is "partial 16S ribosomal RNA". It matches the Rfam family "Bacterial small subunit ribosomal RNA", at positions 79 to 334 of the family's 1533-position model. The record is from RNAcentral.